Molecule: long non-coding RNA, 1654 nt
Filed under: Strigops habroptila (Kakapo)
Lineage: Eukaryota; Metazoa; Chordata; Aves; Psittaciformes; Psittacidae
Description: lncRNA (ENSSHBG00005018078.1)
Source: RNAcentral
UUGGUUGAAAGGUUUUGUUUAUUUUCUAGUGCUGACAGUACAACAGUGUGUAAAUCCUCUAGGUUUUCAUUAAGGGAGACAUUAGUUACUGCUGGAUCUUGGCAAUCCUUGUUCCAAUAAAACUGCAGACUUUUCUUUCAAGAAAGGUAGAACAGAACCCAUCAUAGGUUUGAAUGCAAAUGUAAAAAUUCCCUUCUGAAGAUAAUAAUGCUGACCUAAAGCAGGAUAAUGCCCACUAGUUACACAGAUAUCUAAUGGGAAACUGUGUUCUCUUAAGUCUUUGCUGAAUUUGGACACCUAAUACAGAAGAGCUGUGGUUAUCUUCAGAUAAAAAAAGAGGGGAUGGAAGUAUGAGCACUGACUUUCAUCUUUAGCAUUUAUUGGCUAAGUCCCCAAAAGCAGACUACAAAUUGCUGAAAUCUGAAGGAUUUUUGGACCCAUGUUUCCUCAUGACUGAUCUAGUUACUGGCAACCAGAACAAAAAAAUAAAAUCUUUAUGUGAGUAGUGGCAACAUCUUUCCUCACCAAGUCGGAGAAGAGCAGAUAAGGAAGAAACACUAAUAAGCCCCAUUAAAUGUAUUUAAUAAUUUAAUGUGAUGGGUGACAGUUUUGUGUUAUAAGGAAAAGAUCUCUUGGAUCAGAGCAAAAUUUCCCUGUAAGUGGAGUGCAGUUUCUCAGGUGGAGAAAACCAUUCAAAUUCGAUUGAAGCAGUUCAGGGAAUCUGCUUCUAUACAUGCAAAUAUAAUUACAAUGUUAAAUGACCACUGCUAUCCUGGAGUGAGGUUUUUACGUAUAGUUUCUGUAUACUCAGUCAAAAUUUAUUAAAAAGUCAAAGGGUUAUAUAUUAUUUCUUAUUGGACUCUGUUUCUGUUUUUCAGAUACAUAUAUGUGGAAGUCCAGAUUCAGUUUCAUAAUUAUUUCUUACAUGUACCAAAGAGAAAUGGUCCACCUAUAGGAACAUAAAUGAGUAUGAAGCUGUUUAAGAGGUAUGUGACAUCAGAAUGUUAAUUUAUAGCCCUUUUUUUAGGAUGCGUUCUUUGGAAUGAGCAUAGUGUGGUGGACAUCCUAUGGGCCAUACUUCUAAAGAUGUGGGAGAAAGCAAGCCGAUUGGAAAGCUGAGGAUGGUUCUAGAAGAAAGAUUGUGCCUUGAACUCUUUAGCCCGUGGAUUGCUAUACUUAAAUGUAUUUAAAAAAAAAAAAAAAAGCUAUGAAACUAGCAAAAGAUGUUUUAGAUGAUUUUCCUGUAACUUCAUAGAUUCAUUGUGCUAUAGACUUCAACAUUUUUUUUUAAUGUUGGAAAAAAUUGCUGUUUCAGUGCAUGUUUUCUGGCAAAGCAGAAUUUUGAUAUGUUAACAUCUAGUUACUGCUUUCUCAAAUAAGACACACCAAAGAAAAGAAAGAGGUUUCUUAUCCAUUACAUCUUACCAGCAUCUCUGUGCUGCCAAAUAGAAUAUUUUCAAGUUAGAUGGUUAUAAUUUUGAAGCAGUGUAAAGUAUUUUACUACAGGCAGGAGUAUUUUGAAAACAUUUAGGUGAUGCACUAGGUUUCAUAGGAAUUGAUAUGCUUUGCCUUCUAAAGGCAAACCAGAAAAAGAUUGACUCUGUUCCCUGUGACUUUUUUCCCAGGAUGUUGAAGUCCAUAAAGUCUCAUUCCA